RNAcentral lists this ribosomal RNA (978 nucleotides) under Triticum aestivum (bread wheat). Its description in RNAcentral is "partial small subunit ribosomal RNA". The record is from RNAcentral. Lineage: Eukaryota; Viridiplantae; Streptophyta; Magnoliopsida; Poales; Poaceae.
AUGUGGGUCGAGAUACUGUGCGGCCUGGUGGCCUACAAGCUCAUCCGCGCCGUCUUCUUCUCCGACGACGGCCUCGACCAGCUCGCCGGCCUCGACUCCUCCCACUCCGAUCUCUGCUUCGCCGUCGCAGCCAGGCUCGAGAGGCUCUACGGCGGCCGCUGCUUCGUCGGCCUCCGCAUCCCCGACCCCGACGCCGGUGCGCGCCAGCAUGUCGACGUCGUUCUCGUCACCAAGAGGGAGGUCAUGGUGGUGGCAAUCAACAAUGUCUCUGGUUUUGUUGAGGUUGACAAGGAUGGUAACUGGUUCACUGAAAAGAAGCGCAAGCAGGAGGUUAUUCGAAACCCGGUACUAGAAGUCAGUAGGAUAGCUGCCAAUCUUCAAUCAUACUUGGAGCAGAGGGGAGCAACACUGCCUAACGGGAUUGUAAAUGGAAGAGUUGUACUGCCAAAUCCCAACUGCAGGCCUUCGUACACUAUUAAUCUUCAACCGGAGGUUAUCUCGUACGAUCAAUGGAAAGAUCUUAAGGCAGACACAAAAGGUGGACUUUCGACAUGGAUUAAAGGUGCAUUUCAUGGAAACAAAAGCGACAUCCAAGAUUCAUUACUCCAAAAUCUGUAUUCUAUUCUCAGCACGUCGCCUAUGUGGGACAGGUUGGAACUCAGAGGGGACAAAAAUGUCCUUGGUGAAUUCAUGGAAUUUAAAGGCAAGCAUGAAGACAUGCCACUCCUGAAAAAAGUGAAGAGAUCAAAAGUUAGCCGGUUUGUCAUCCAGAAAUCAACUCUUUUUGGAGGUUUUGGCAGGUCGCGAGUCCAAAUACUGUAUUCUCCUCGAGAUUACCGAGCUGAGGGCACUUCAUCUUCAGAAUGGAAAGAGAUCUCCGUGAAGCAGUACACCGAGAUUCAUUUCCAGCCGUUGCACUCCAAAAAAGUCCGGAAAUUCAAGCUGUCGAGUGUUGCUUCCGUGACACUGAGCGCCUAG